UAGGGAAUCUUCCACAAUGGACGCAAGUCUGAUGGAGCAACGCCGCGUGAGUGAAGAAGGUCUUCGGAUCGUAAAACUCUGUUGUAAGAGAAGAACGUGUGUGAGAGUGGAAAGUUCACACAGUGACGGUAACUUACCAGAAAGGGACGGCUAACUACGUGCCAGCAG
This 168-nucleotide ribosomal RNA is filed under the name uncultured bacterium. RNAcentral describes it as "partial 16S rRNA". It matches the Rfam family "Bacterial small subunit ribosomal RNA", at positions 355 to 514 of the family's 1533-position model. The record is from RNAcentral.